GGCAGCACAGGCAGAGGGGUUGAAACCUUCCUUGGGAGAAGGAUGCAAGGUCCGAGGGAUAGAUAUCAGCCCUUGGAGAAGACGAACAGGCAGAGGAGUCAAAGCCUGCCCUAAAAAAGGAGGCACAAGGAGAGGGAUGAUACCUGCCUGGAAGAAAGAGGACCGGCAGUUGGGAUGAUAACUGCCUGAGAGAAGGCAGGGGAGUCA
This is a non-coding RNA of Pelobates cultripes (western spadefoot toad), 207 nucleotides long. The record is from the annotation of a GenBank genome assembly. Lineage: Eukaryota; Metazoa; Chordata; Amphibia; Anura; Pelobatidae.